This 253-nucleotide ribosomal RNA is filed under the name uncultured bacterium. RNAcentral describes it as "partial 16S ribosomal RNA". It matches the Rfam family "Bacterial small subunit ribosomal RNA", at positions 524 to 776 of the family's 1533-position model. The record is from RNAcentral.
UACGAAUGGGGCUAGCGUUGCUCGGAAUCACUGGGCGUAAAGGGUGCGUAGGCGGGUCUUUAAGUCAGGGGUGAAAUCCUGGAGCUCAACUCCAGAACUGCCUUUGAUACUGAAGAUCUUGAGUUCGGGAGAGGUGAGUGGAACUGCGAGUGUAGAGGUGAAAUUCGUAGAUAUUCGGAAGAACACCAGUGGCGAAGGCGGCUCACUGGACUGGUAUUGACGCUGAGGUGCGAAAGCGUGGGGAGCAAACAGG